UACGUAGGGUGCAAGCGUUGUCCGGAAUUAUUGGGCGUAAAGAGCUCGUAGGCGGUUUGUCGCGUCUGGUGUGAAAAUCCAGGGCUUAACCCUGGACCUGCAUCGGGUACGGGCAGACUAGAAUGCAGUAGGGGAGACUGGAAUUCCUGGUGUAGCGGUGAAAUGCGCAGAUAUCAGGAGGAACACCGAUGGCGAAGGCAGGUCUCUGGGCUGUAACUGACGUGAGGAGCGAAAGCAUGGGGGAGCGAACAGG
This 253-nucleotide ribosomal RNA is filed under the name uncultured bacterium. Its description in RNAcentral is "partial 16S ribosomal RNA". It matches the Rfam family "Bacterial small subunit ribosomal RNA", at positions 524 to 776 of the family's 1533-position model. The record is from RNAcentral.